Molecule: unclassified non-coding RNA, 309 nt
Filed under: plant metagenome
Description: partial contains 5.8S ribosomal RNA, internal transcribed spacer 2, and large subunit ribosomal RNA
Rfam family: 5.8S ribosomal RNA (bases 1-104)
Source: RNAcentral
AAAUGCGAUAAGUAGUGUGAAUUGCAGAAUUCAGUGAAUCAUCGAAUCUUUGAACGCACAUUGCGCCCCUUGGUAUUCCAUGGGGCAUGCCUGUUCGAGCGUCAUUUGUACCCUCAAGCUCUGCUUGGUGUUGGGUGUUUGUCCCCGUCUCCGCGCGUGGACUCGCCCCAAAGUGAUUGGCAGCCGGCGUACUGGUCCCGGAGCGCAGCACAUGUCGCGCAAACGAAUGCCUUGGUACGGCGGCGUCCAUAAGCCCCUCUCUCACGCUCUUGACCUCGGAUCAGGUAGGGAUACCCGCUGAACUUAAGC